GGUUAAGCGAACAAGCGUACACGGUGGAUGCCCUGGCAGUCAGAGGCGAUGAAGGACGUGCUAAUCUGCGAAAAGCGCCGGUAAGGUGAUAUGAACCGU
This 99-nucleotide ribosomal RNA is filed under the name Cronobacter sakazakii. RNAcentral describes it as "partial 23S ribosomal RNA". It matches the Rfam family "Bacterial large subunit ribosomal RNA", at positions 1 to 99 of the family's 2925-position model. The record is from RNAcentral. Lineage: Bacteria; Pseudomonadati; Pseudomonadota; Gammaproteobacteria; Enterobacterales; Enterobacteriaceae.